AGAAGAAGCACUGCAGGGAGCUGCCUGGCACUGGGGAUCCGGAGGACCAGACCCUCAGAGAGACUGCAUACCAAGAGUCCUCCAGCUUUCAGGCAUGUUCACCUACAGGCAAAAGAAACUGAAUGAUGCUGCUUAUGGGAACAUAUGCAGGAAACACAGCAGCCAAUUGGCACAUAGCAAGCUCCCACAUACAGCAACGGAAUAAUGACCAGAUUAGCGAUGUUCACCAGGACACCGGGAAGAAUUCUCCUGGAAACAGUAGCAGUACAAUGUUUUAUGCUCUCCUGAGUGGGAAAACUUGCCUGAAAGACAGUACCUCUGACAGUUUGGCACUCCCUCAAUACUGUACUGGGAGCAGCAGCCUGGAUUGCAUGGGUUGAGGGUAAAUUCAACACAAGACAAUCUCUCAUCCAAGUCUGAUGUUGCUGAAUUACUCUUGACUUAUCUCUUAAUUCUACUCUGUCCUUUCUGGCUCUUCUGGUUUCCUACACUUGGUUCCUCAACUAACAUGUCUGAAUUAAAACAGGCCAAUAAAGAGAGACUGAGAUGUG
Molecule: long non-coding RNA, 551 nt
Organism: Carcharodon carcharias (great white shark)
Lineage: Eukaryota; Metazoa; Chordata; Chondrichthyes; Lamniformes; Lamnidae
Exons: 3
Source: RefSeq, a predicted model, not a curated record